RNAcentral lists this non-coding RNA (29 nucleotides) under Rattus norvegicus (Norway rat). The record is from RNAcentral. Lineage: Eukaryota; Metazoa; Chordata; Mammalia; Rodentia; Muridae.
UAAACAGUCCAACCUUGCCUGUCCCAGCU